RNAcentral lists this ribosomal RNA (490 nucleotides) under uncultured bacterium. RNAcentral describes it as "partial 16S ribosomal RNA". It matches the Rfam family "Bacterial small subunit ribosomal RNA", at positions 30 to 507 of the family's 1533-position model. The record is from RNAcentral.
AUUGAACGCUGGCGGCAGGCCUAACACAUGCAAGUCGAACGGUAACAGGGAUCAGCUUGCUGAUUCGCUGACGAGUGGCGGACGGGCGAGUAAUGUCUGGGAAACUGCCUGAUGGAGGGGGAUAACUACUGGAAACGGUAGCUAAUACCGCAUAACGUCGCAAGACCAAAGAGGGGGACCUUCGGGCCUCUUGCCAUCGGAUGUGCCCAGAUGGGAUUAGCUAGUAGGUGGGGUAACGGCUCACCUAGGCGACGAUCCCUAGCUGGUCUGAGAGGAUGACCAGCCACACUGGAACUGAGACACGGUCCAGACUCCUACGGGAGGCAGCAGUGGGGAAUAUUGCACAAUGGGCGCAAGCCUGAUGCAGCCAUGCCGCGUGUAUGAAGAAGGCCUUCGGGUUGUAAAGUACUUUCAGCGGGGAGGAAGGGAGUAAAGUUAAUACCUUUGCUCAUUGACGUUACCCGCAGAAGAAGCACCGGCUAACUCCGUG